ACUCCUGCGGGAGGCAGCAGUGGGGAAUAUUGGACAAUGGGCGCAAGCCUGAUCCAGCCAUGCCGCGUGAGUGAUGAAGGCCCUAGGGUUGUAAAGCUCUUUCACCGGAGAAGAUAAUGACGGUAUCCGGAGAAGAAGCCCCGGCUAACUUCGUGCCAGCAGCCGCGGUAAUACGAAGGGGGCUAGCGUUGUUCGGAAUUACUGGGCGUAAAGCGCACGUAGGCGGAUCGAUCAGUCAGGGGUGAAAUCCCAGGGCUCAACCCUGGAACUGCCUUUGAUACUGUCGAUCUGGAGUAUGGAAGAGGUGAGUGGAAUUCCGAGUGUAGAGGUGAAAUUCGUAGAUAUUCGGAGGAACACCAGUGGCGAAGGCGGCUCACUGGUCCAUUACUGACGCUGAGGUGCGAAAGCGUGGGGAGCAAACAGGAUUAGAUACCCCGGUAGUCCCAUGA
This 449-nucleotide ribosomal RNA is filed under the name uncultured organism. RNAcentral describes it as "partial 16S ribosomal RNA". It matches the Rfam family "Bacterial small subunit ribosomal RNA", at positions 335 to 800 of the family's 1533-position model. The record is from RNAcentral.